Molecule: ribosomal RNA, 1432 nt
Filed under: uncultured bacterium
Lineage: Bacteria
Description: bacterial SSU rRNA
Rfam family: Bacterial small subunit ribosomal RNA
Source: RNAcentral
AGAGUUUGAUCCUGGCUCAGGACGAACGCUGGCGGCAUGCCUAACACAUGCAAGUCGAACGGAGUUAUUAUUCAGAAGUUCUUCGGAAUGGAAGGAUAAGAACUUAGUGGCGGACGGGUGAGUAACGCGUGGGUAACCUGCCCUUUUGUGGGGAACAACUUCGAGAAAUCGGAGCUAAUACCGCAUAAUAAUAGAGGAUCGCAUGAUUCUUUAAGGAAAGAUGGCCUCUGAAGAUGCUAUCGCAAAAGGAUGGACCCGCGUCUGAUUAGCUAGUUGGAAGGGUAACGGCCUACCAAGGCAACGAUCAGUAGCCGGCCUGAGAGGGUGAACGGCCACAUUGGGACUGAGACACGGCCAAACUCCUACGGGAGGCAGCAGUGGGGAAUCUUCCGCAAUGGGCGAAAGCCUGACGGAGCAAUGCCGCGUGAGUGAAGAAGGCCUUCGGGUUGUAAAACUCUGUCCUUAUCGAAGAGAGGUAGGUAUGUGAAUAAUGUACCUAUAGGACGGUAGAUAAGGAGGAAGCCCCGGCUAACUACGUGCCAGCAGCCGCGGUAAUACGUAGGGGGCGAGCGUUGUCUGGAAUCACUGGGCGUAAAGGGCGCGUAGGCGGUUUAAUAAGUCAGUGGUGAAAACUGAGGGCUCAAUCCUCAGCCUGCCACUGAUACUGUUAGACUUGAGUAUGGAAGAGGAGAAUGGAAUUCCUAGUGUAGCGGUGAAAUGCGUAGAUAUUAGGAGGAACACCAGUGGCGAAGGCGAUUCUCUGGGCCAAGACUGACGCUGAGGCGCGAAAGCGUGGGGAGCAAACAGGAUUAGAUACCCUGGUAGUCCACGCCAUAAACGAUGGAUACUAGCUGUUAGUAGUUUCGAUGCUACUAGUGCCGGAGUAAACACAAUAAGUAUCCCGCCUGGGGAGUACGGUUGCAAGACUGAAACUCAAAGGAAUUGACGGGGGCCCGCACAAGCGGUGGAGCAUGUGGUUUAAUUCGACGCAACGCGAAGAACCUUACCAAGACUUGACAUCCUCCUGACAAGAUAUGUAAUGUAUCUCUUUUCUUCGGAGACAGGAGAGACAGGUGGUGCAUGGUUGUCGUCAGCUCGUGUCGUGAGAUGUUGGGUUAAGUCCCGCAACGAGCGCAACCCUUAUUUCUAGUUGCCAGCAGUAAGAUGGGGACUCUAGAGAGACUGCCAGUGACAAACUGGAGGAAGGUGGGGAUGACGUCAAAUCAUCAUGCCCCUUAUGUCUUGGGCUACGCACGUGCUACAAUGGUCAGAACAGAGGGAAGCGAAGCCGCGAGGUGGAGCAAAUCCCUAAAAGCCAUCCCAGUUCGGAUCGCAGGCUGCAACCCGCCUGCGUGAAGUUGGAAUCGCUAGUAAUCGCGGAUCAGCAUGCCGCGGUGAAUACGUUCCCGGGCCUUGCACUCGCCGCCCGUCA